RNAcentral lists this unclassified non-coding RNA (1574 nucleotides) under Leishmania donovani. RNAcentral describes it as "gene:LdHU3.28.4290(CDS-product:hypothetical_prote in_conserved)". The record is from RNAcentral. Lineage: Eukaryota; Euglenozoa; Kinetoplastea; Trypanosomatida; Trypanosomatidae.
UUCUCGGCAUCCACCGCUGCUGCCCCCCUUUUUUUGGCACUUCAAUUGUUUUCUUCUCUCCACACGAGUCUUCCGGGCAAGUUGGCGUCUUCGAACGCUGACUUGCUGCUCCGUUUGUAACAACACACGUACGUAUGCACAUCUUGAAGCCACGAAUCACGCAUUUGCCCCCACACUGUGACGCUCCACCUAUUUUGAUUGUUGUUGCUGUCGCCUUUCCGGAACAGCAGCAGUUGUAGGCCUCGCUGACCUGUAUUCCUUCCCCUGCCGUUGGUGCCUUGUUUGUCUCUUAUCGCCUGUUCUCGUCGAGGAGCCGCAUUGUAUUGUGACGCAACCAACGGAGUCAUGAACCGCAGUUUUGUUAGCAGCGCUGAUCUGCGUGGGCUCACUGCCGCUUUUCGUGGUAGUUUGACGUGCCAGAAGCGCUUUUGGGCGAAGCCGAAGAAGCGUCCGAAAGUGGGCCCCGGAUUUCAUGAGAAGGCGCAGAAGUGGCGCGAUGAGUACCUCCUCGACCGCCACCGCGUUUUGGCAGACAGUCUCCGAGCGUAUGUCGAUUUCAGUUCCACAAAACGAGUAGAGCCGUGGGACACUCGCUUUGCUCCGUUUGAUCGUGUCGAGAAAGAUGGCGUGUACAUCCUCACUCGCUACCUUAUGGAUGACAAACUACAGCUGUGUAACUACCACCAUCGUCCUGUGAAGCGCAUGCUGUGUAAUGUGGGGCUAAUGGGCCCUCAGGUAACUACGACGGCGCGGUGGAAGCCGUACCGCUUUGCGACCAAUCCUGCCAACACCACGCGUGCCGAACGCACCUUCACCAAGGACAAGACAGUCUUCACAGGUUACCAUCACGAUUGAUGGACUCUAAAGGAUCAGGUUUGCCUACCACUUUCCUCUCUGCCCCCUUCCUGUCUGUGAAGGGAGGGCAAGGGCGCGCAUGGUGCCAUCCUCUCUCUCCUUUCUUGUGUUUACCCGCUUUUCCUUUUUGUGGAUUGGAUGGUAGAGGAUCCGCUUCGUCUGUGUGCAGUGGCCUUGCGUUUGUGACGAGAAAGGAGGAGCGGAGAGAGAGAAAGAAAACCAUUACGAUACGAGGGCGAGGCAGGGAGGUGAAGUUGCGUUGUUCACUUUUUCAUGAGCUCUGGGUUUCGCAUUUGAAAGCAACGCGAUACUGGAAAAAAAAACUAUUGAACUGUAGGCAGGAAGGAAGCUGCUAUACUCGGGCGAUCGACCGGUAUGACGCACUAUGAACUGCUUUGGUCUCUCUUGAGGAGGUCUCCUGCCAUAAUGUGUGCACGCUUUAGAGACGCCGCAUCGCUGUUUUUUUUUUUUUGGGGGGGCAAUGCACGUGCGAAGGUCGGUCUCCGUGCUGCAUUGGUGCUGGACACUUUUGUGCGACUCAGCAUGUUGCGGGCGCUGACAUGCGCACUCGUAAACAGAAAAAAAAUGCACACUGCGCCUCCUCUUAUAGACCUCAUCUAUGCAGCAUAUACGCCACUCCUCCGAUGAAUCCCUCGCACUUUUCGGCAAACUUCAAUGCACUGCGGUACUGCUCUCGUUCUGUUCCUUGCAAUCCGAAG